Molecule: ribosomal RNA, 269 nt
Filed under: uncultured bacterium
Lineage: Bacteria
Description: partial 16S ribosomal RNA
Rfam family: Bacterial small subunit ribosomal RNA
Source: RNAcentral
AGCGAACGCUGGCGGCAGGCUUAAUACAUGCAAGUCGAGCGCCCGUAGCAAUACGGGAGCGGCAGACGGGUGAGUAACACGUGGGAACAUGCCCUUCGGUUCGGAAUAACUCAGGGAAACUUGAGCUAAUACCGAAUACGCCUACGGGAAAGGAUUAUCGCCGAAGGAUUGGCCCGCGUCCGAUUAGCUAGUUGGUGAGGUAAUGGCUCACCAAGGCGACGAUCGGUAGCUGGUCNGAGAGGAUGAUCAGCCACACUGGGACUGAGACA